RNAcentral lists this long non-coding RNA (9672 nucleotides) under Brassica napus (rape). RNAcentral describes it as "long non-coding RNA (BNAP_LNC012484)". Lineage: Eukaryota; Viridiplantae; Streptophyta; Magnoliopsida; Brassicales; Brassicaceae. The record is from RNAcentral.
UCUCGACACACUUCUGAUCUGCGACGGUGUGUAAUUCAACGCACAGAGGAAGCCUAAGUAAUCCACCGUCGUUAGAUCAUAAAUAAGUCCCGGAUUGAUCGCCGUCGUCGGCGACACGUGUCCUGCGCCAUGCUCAAACGGCGUUGAAGGUUUCCCCGUCGUGACGUCGAGUAUCGGUUUCCCGUCUUUGUAUGUUUUGUAAGCGGUGGUCAUGAGAGCCGAUCUGAUCGCCGCCGGGCUCCACUCCGGAUGCACGGACUUGAGAAGCGCAGCUAAACCGCUCACGUGAGGGCAAGACAUGGACGUUCCUGAGAUGAUGUUGAACUCCACGCGUCUAGCAUCGGAAGCUAGACCGGUAGGUCCCUUGGAUCCGGUCCAACCGGCAAGGAUAUUAACUCCCGGUGCGAUUAAAUCCGGUUUAAGAAUAUCGGGCGUGAUCGAAUUAGGUCCUCUCGAGCUAAACGCCGCAACAACCGGAGACAGCUGGACGUUAACAACGGUCCUUCGAAUCAAAACCGAAGCGGUUGGAUUCGGAUCGGUUAAGACGUAAUGUCGGAUAAUAUCACCGGCCUUCUCUCCCACGGCGGUGGCAGGUAACAAAUGAGCAUCCGCCACAAGCUCCUCUCCGUUAUCCGCCGUGUUAGCGAGAAUCAUCCCGAGUCCGCCGGCAGCCUUCACCACCUCUCCUUUCUGAACCCUAGCGUUCACUCCUCUAUCGCACAUCACGAUCUUCCCCUUCACUUUCUCCGGAAUCAAAGUCCCGGGCCCACAUAGAUUCCCAUUAGCCGCGUUACUAGCAUUCCCCGCGUAAACAAACGACAGCAUUUUAUCCGGAAGGGCGUCUCCUUUAAACAACGAAACGCCCGAGUAAUUCUUCCCGUUUCCGAGAACCGCAACCGCUGGAAAAUCGCGAUCUAUCGUACCCACACCAACGGUGGUGAUCCACGGAGCUACGUUCGAUAAAGUGGACGAGCUGGGACCAGAAUUACCGGCGGAGCAGGAGACUAAUAUCCCUCUCUCCAUCGCCGCAAACGCUCCGAUCGCGACGCUGUCUCUAUAAUAAUCCGACGUGCCACCGCCGAGAGACAUGGACAAAAUGUUAACGUUAUCGUUGAUAGCUUUAUCGAUCGCAGCUAAAAUAUCGGAGCUGAAACAACCGCCUUCCCAACAAACUUUGUAAACGGCCACGCUAGCGCGUCGCGCCAUCCCGCGGGCCGCCCCGCUAGCGAAUCCCAAAAGGCUAGCUCCUUCCACGACGGAUCCAGCUGCGGUUGAGGACGUGUGGGUCCCGUGGCCGUCGUCGUCUCUAGGAGAUCUUGAUUCUUUUGACUCGUCCACUGGUCCCAUCGUGGCUUCGUAGCCGCGGGCGAAGAAUCUAGCUCCGAUUAGUUUGCGGUUACACAGCGAAGCCGUGAAGUUAGUUCCAUCCUCGCAACCGCCUCUCCACGUGGAGGGGACCGGACCUAAUCCAACGUCGGAUAAGCUUUUGCUCUCCGGCCAAACUCCGGUGUCGAGGACCCCGACGACGACGUCGCUGGAGGAGCCGGUUUCGGGGAAGAGGUCCGCGUUGUGGACGUCGAGGCCGAGGAAGAGUGGAGUGCGAGUGGUGUGUAGCUCGUACCGGUGCUCCGGUAGUACCGAGAUGACACCUGGCAGAGUCAUGAGCGAGUCGGUUUCUUCGGGAGUUAGCCGAGUGGAGAAUCCGUGAAUGGCGUUGGCGUAAGUGUAUAGGAGCUGAGCAGAUUGUGAGGCGGAUCUGAGGGAGGAGUCGUACCAGAGAGAGUGGAGGUCGAAGCCCGACGGCAUCUGAGACUGCGCCAUGUGAACGAUGUAAGUUGCAUGUUGAGCUCCAUCCGACACGUGGCAGAAGCCCGGAUGGAGGACGAGGAGGAAAGUGAAGAAUGCAGCGGAGGAGAGAAACGAAGAAGAAGACAUGUCUUUCGCAAUCUAUGGUAUCGCUCUGAUUUGGAUGAAUAGUUUAUAUCUAUAUAUAGUAAGUAGGGAGAGACGGGAGAUGCUAGUGAGAACACACAAAGAGGUUUUAGAUGCUAGUAACCGCAAGCUUCUGACACUGUGUCACAACGUGCCGUUUCCCACAUCUCUUUGUAUCGGUUUUAUAUUCCCAAACCCGAACCAGAUCUCAACUCCUGCCGCAAAAGACAAAUCUAUAAAGCUAACUCCAAACCAUUCUCAGUUACAACUAACCAUUGAAUCCUUCUUCUAACCGGAAUUAAUUAUAUGAAUCAUCUGGAAACUAUAUUCUACAAGUAAGAAAAAUAUACAAUAUAUCCGACUACAGAUAUCAAAAGUUACUAAGUAACCAUUUUGUUCCAAGCAUAAUUAAAUUAUAAUUAUCCGUGGAUUCAAUUAUGACAGUUAUAUGAGCAGCAACAAGUAGAUAUAUUAAUUCGCGACAUGUGACCUUGAUUAUUAAUCAAACCUGCCUAACACAACUCUAAUCUGUUUCCUCACUUGGAGAUAACUUCCAAAUAACAAUAUGUGACAGAUAAAUCGGCAAUUAUUUUUAUUAAACCGACUAAUUAUUGUCUUAGCUCCGGUUCGCUUGAAUACGGUAUGGUCGUGUCCACACUUCCACAGUCCACUCCAAAAUUCCCCUAAAGAAGGUUGCGUUACUACCCCACAUUCAAUGGAUUCCAUUGGGGAGUGGAGUCAACAAUUUUGUCUUUACCUCGAACUAAGUGUAAAUACAAAAGAAUCUAGAUACUCGUGACUCUUUUAUGUUUGUAUAUGGACAACAGUACAAUAUACUCCUGUCCAUAUUAGACAUCAAAACGUCUUUAUGUCCACACUAUUUAGAGCCAAACGUCUGUAUGCAAUUCCUUCUACACCAAAACGUAUGUAACGGUCCGUGGAUGCCAUAAGAGUGCUUUGUUUCAUUUGGUUUAGCAAUUUACUCUUUGUUUUGCGUACAUUGAUUAUUUGAUUACGCGCAUAAUCAUGAUUUAUGUUUUGAAAACGUACAGAUACAUAAGGAACUACUUUUCAUACUAGAUAUGAAUGGGUUUGGAGAAAGACAUCAUCAACUAACCAAUGCUUUUGAGUUUUGACGGUUGGGAUCCAAAUAAUGUGUGUGGCAAUUAUCGAGACUUUGGUUCGUAUGGUACGACAUGAAGUAACGUGUCUUUACAUCAGAUCAGAGUUCGCGAAAACCAUAUCUAAAUAAUUAAGCUACAUUUUCAAAUGUUCAUAUUGUUAUUAUUUUUUUUAGUUUAUGUUUUAUUUUUUAUAAACGAGCAAAUAAGAACAUCAGAAAGCUGGCAGGCUGGUCUAUUUUAUCCGACUCUCAGUAAUAAUGCCACGAUGAGGUAUUGAAUAUUGUCCACGUCCCUGAUUGAUUUCAUAUAGUAUUAAAUUUUGGGAAAAAAUAGUAUGUAUCAGGGUUUUAAUUGGACAAUUCUCUUUAUUUACUUGUUUUGGAACUUGGUUAAAAUUGAACUGUGUGCCUACAAAAUUCACCUCAUGAACACUUCUCUUCUUCUUUCAGUUAUACCUUAUAUAUUAAAACAGAAGUAAUGACUUCUCAUUCAUAUGUGAUUUUUAAAAAAAUAGACUAUCUACUAGAGUUGGUCAUAUUACAUUUUCAAUCAUUAGUAAUCUUUAUAUUAAAUAAAAGACAUUAUUAAAAAAUCUUUUCCAGAAACAUAUAAAUCUAUAAAUCUCUAUGCGCUUAGAUAUAACUCUCUAUAACUCACGAGAGUUUGUAGUUUUCAUGUAAAGUUUGACAUGAAGAGACGUCUUCCCAGAUUAUUUGUUUAAUCAUUGUGUUUUUGUAGUGUUGUGUUUGCAGACAAUAUUUACUAAAGAUUAUUUGAUUGUAAGCUCUGAACAUAUGUUAAUAAUUUACUGAACACAUUGAUUAGUGUGGAGAAGAUGAAGUUGGUCCAUUGUUAACGUCCAUUUAUGUUUUUCAAGUCAAUGAAAGCAGAAGACAAUAUUAAAAUAAUGGUCGCUUGAUACAAUUACGUUCAUUUAGUUGUCUUACCAUUUACUAAAGAUUAUUGGAUUGUAAGCUCUGAAACUAUGUUAAUAAUUUACUGAAGACAUUGAUGCAUUUGGAGAAGAUGAAGUUGGUCCGUUGUUAACGUCUAUAAGAAAUUUAGAAUAUCUACAUUCAGUUGCAACAAUAGAUAUCUACAUCUAUUCUGUUAACAAUUCAAAUUAAAUAAAGAUUAAUUCCUAUUCUGUUAUAACUAAUCAAAGCAAUAUCUACUUUCAAAGAAUAUAUAAUUUUCGUGAGUGUACUAACAUAUAUGAUAUUCUAAGCAUUUAUUUUAAAGCUUGGAGAUCAAGCUCACAUAUUUAUUGUUGCCCUGACCUUCUCAAUUUGUUUCCGAUAUUUUCGAAACAUAAUCACGUAAUUUUUUUUUUAUUUUACAUAACAACCUAAACAAUAUCAUCGAUCUAAUAUACUUGAUACCAGAUUUACAAUGAAUAUAUCAAUAUCUACAAUAUAGGUAACUAUAACAACCGAUUCUUAAUAUCCUAUAUCUUAUAUAUUAAAACAGAAAUCACAACCUUGAUUCAUGUGUGAUUUUUUAAAAAAUGGACCUAAUAUACCUAUUUCUAGAAAGUCAUGUUACAUUUAAUAUCUAAUCUUAUCAUUUAAAUUUUGGACCUACCAUAAAUUUUUAUUGGGCUAUCAAUAAUUGGAUUUACACAAUAGAUGAUCCAUUGGAUUUAUAGAUAGUAUAAAUUAAAUAUAUAUAAUUUAAUGUUGUAAUACUAUACCUCUAUAUGCUAAAUAUUUAAAUAUUUGUCGAUGUUAACUUUUAAAAUUAUAAAGAUUUUUUUAAAAUAACAAAAAUCAUAUUAUCUAACAAAUGAUUAAUCUUUACUACCUUAAACCAAUGAAAACAAAUUUUAAACUAUAUAGUUUAUUUUAAAAAUUAAACAAAAACUAAAUUUUUAAUUAUUUACUUGAUAAUAUAAAUCUAUGAAGCGAAAAGUUUAAUUUUUUAAAAACUUUCUAAAUUUGUGAAAUGUUACAAUAUCUUUGAAUAUGACAAUAAAACAAUAUUUAAUAACCUUUAUAUAUAUAGUUACGAUUUAAAUAAUAAAAUAAUAAUCCGAAAAUAUAUAUAUAUAUAUAUAUAUAUAAGAAGAUACAAAUACAUGUGAAAGUUUAAAACAAUCUAUUCAAUGAAAAAAUAUACAGUAAACUUAUUAAGUUUUAAAAAUUGAUAGACACAUAUAUAUAUUAUAAUAUAUCCCAAUUUAGAAUUGAAAACAAAAUAUUUAUAUAAAAAUAAAUAAAAACAAAAACCCGUCGUGAUCUAGUAAGAAGUUAAAAACUAACGCAAUCUAUCAACAAGUAAACUGAUGAUUUUAGCCUUUUAACCGUGAAAAGUUAUAUAGGCCGUUAAUCUAAGCCCUUUACAUGAUUAAGUUGGGCAAUUAUAGGCCCACGUAAUCCACAUUUUAUAAAAUAACUGGUACAGUAUUUGGCAAUUAUAGGCAUUUUAAUCAAAACUGAAAGACCACAUAGUGCAUUUGUGUUGCUGUAUACUAGUUUGACAAAGUACUAUUUAACAAGAUCAUCCCAUUUGCAGUAUUGACCACCGGCCAAUGCACGGUAGUAACGGUCUCUGCAAUAGACCGGUCUUCCAUCAGCAGCCUCAGCCGCGGCUGCUGCCAAGUCAUCAUCAGUGACAACAUCGGUGGGCAACCGAAGCAAUUGUUCUUUUCUGCAUAGUUUGUAUGAACGAAAAGAGAUGAGAGUGUGGCUCCAACCAAAAGUUCUGAUAGUUUGGUGUUACUGAUUGAUCUCUCUCCUUGUUACCUCAUAUUGAACUUGUUGUUGGUUCUUGAAAUGGAAACCUCUGGUUGGUUAUCCUUAGAUGAUCUUAGAGUGGUUUUAAAGAAAUCCUCGACUGGUGUUGCGAAAACGAAUAGGACGAAUGCUGAAACGAGCAAAGCUCCUGUUCCAAUUAAUGUCUGCUUCAGCAUCUUGAUUACUGGCUUCACCUGAAACUCACAAAUGUAGCCUCAGUUUCUUUUUUUGCCUUUCCAGCAUUUGAAUAAGAAACAUCAUUGUCUGCAUUCAUUUACCUUGUAAGAGCCUAACAGCCUGUCCCUAGCCAAUACCUGAGAAGAAACAAAGAUGGAAAUGCAUUUGGACCAUAGGAAUGUUCAUUUCUUGUAAUGAAAAGGGAAAAGACUUUGGAAAAGCAAACCUCUGGAGGCUUAACCCACAUUUGGCCAUCAUACCAUCCGCUCUCUUCGUAUGGAAUAACAGCAGAAAGUAGUCUAUCUCCAACAUAGCUCCAUCCCUAACAACAAACCAACCAACUUCAUUUAUAAUCCACUAAUAAAUUAAUGUUAAGCUGGGGAGAAGUCUAUUAAUUAAAUACCAGGUAAAUUCUCAAGACAAUCAACGAAACCAGGAAUAAAGUCCCUGUCCCUGCAGCUAUAACAAACCUCAAAGGUUCCUGCCAGGAAAAUUAUAUUGUAAUCUGUAAAAAAAAAAAAGAGUGUACAAACACAUAUCUUCUUCUUCUUCUUCAAAAGGGAGAGGGUCACUGACUCUGGAAGGAUUAAAGCUAGCAGCAGCGAUGGGAACACCAAGGACAGUGAAGGUGACCAACCAAAGACCACCGAGACGAAGAAAGAAUUUGCUUGGACCUAAUUCUCCCCAUGAGUACAACAUCCCUUCCUUCAAAGCCGAAUACUCAUUCACCUAAAUAACCCCAACAAAAGGGUAUUAUCAAAAAAAAAAUUAUUUCAUCUAUAUAUUUAUAGAGUUAGAAAAAAAUGAGACCCCGACGACGACGUCGCUGGAGGAGCCGGUUUCGGGGAAGAGGUCCGCGUUAUGGACAUCGAGGCCGAGGAAGAGUGGAGUGCGAGUGGUGUGUAGCUCGUACCGGUGCUCCGGUAGUACCAAGAUGACACCUGGCAGAGUCAUGAGCGAGUCGGCUUCUUCGGGAGUUAGCCGAGUCGAGAAUCCGUGAAUGGCGUUGGUGUAUGUGUAGAGGAGCUGAGCAGAUUGUGAGACGGAUCUGAGGGAGGAGUCGUACCAGAGAGAGUGGAGGUCGAAGCCCGACGGCAUCUGAGACUGCGCCAUGUGAACGAUGUAAGUUGCAUGUUGAGCUCCAUCCGACAUGUGGCAGAAGCCCUGAUGGAGGAGGAGGAGGAUAGUGAAGAAUGCAGCAGAGGAGAGAAACGAAGAAUAAGACAUAUUUUUCGGUAUCGCUCUGAAUUUGGACCAAUAGUUUAUUAUAUAUAGUAAGUAGAGAGACAGGAGAUGCUAGUGAGAACACACAAAGAGGUUUUCGAUUGCUAGUAACCGCAAGCUUCUGACACUGUGUCAUAACGUGCCGUUUCUCAGAUCUCUUUGUAUCGGUUUUAUAUUCCCAAACCCGAACCAGAUCUCAACUCCUGCCGCAAAAGACAAAUCUAUAAAGCUAACUCCAAACCAUCUAAAACUAUUUCGUCAAAAACGAAUUCCAACAAUUUCAUCUCUCUCCCAAUCAAAACAUUAAAGCCAAGACUUUGACUUAGUCAUCUUGGGCCGUCUCUUACUAUUUGAACUCUGCUGCUCUAGGCAUCGUGUAGUUGGAACCUACGUAUUCACGAGAAGGACUCAUAGCCCUGUUGGCAAAAAAGGGUAUAUAUCAUUUUCGUUCGAGCUAGGAACGUGCACUAUUGGAUAUUGAUAAUAGGUGAAAUGGGUUCAGCCCAAAUGGAUAAAUUUAUUGGAUAGUGAUCGGCCCAUUACAACUAUCUUGUGUUUAGACAUUCAGUUUACAUAGGCCCAUUAAUAAAUACAACAUCUAUGAGAUUAUGGUUCUGCUCUUAUCAAAAUUUGUUCAGAAAGGACUCCAGUACUCAAUUGUUUCAAAGAAUUCACCAUUCACGUCUUUCUUUAGAAUUCACAUUAACUUCCAGGUAGACUGGGCAAGCAACGUCUUUGGCUUUGGAAGAGCAAGAGGCACUGUUUGUAAUUCUCCCGUGACUAAUGAGCUCUGAUAGACGUCCUUGUAAGUACGUACGAUCUUGGCCCAGUUUUUAGGACCAUACUUUUUAAACCCCCCAAACAUUGUUUGGUCUUCAGCUGAAGAAAACAAACGGGCGUUUCUUAUCAGAGGCUUUGGAAUUUUUACUGGUCAUUGUCAUGUAACGGUCUUUGAUGUUAACUGAGUACAUCUUCGUAAGCACCUCUGAUACUGGACCAGACAUUUAGUGCCAAACUUCUUAAAACCCAUCAAGUAUUUGCUUGGUCUUCAGUUGGAGUUAAUUCUUCUCUUCCUCUCCUACUAUCGGUGGUCCAUCCCCCAAGGAAUUAAGGUUUCCUCACAGUGAGUUUCCACCCAAGGCCAAGAGCGCUGUCAUGGUCUUCAUCAAAGAUGGUGAUUGAGAAAGUCGUUGCUAUCACCAUGUGGAGGAUGAGAAUAAGGAAGAUUUGAUCCACAGAGCUCACACUUAAUCUUGUCGUGUGGAAAUUUAAAUAAGUAAAAAAAAUAAUUAAAUUUUCUACAUAUAUGUAAAGGGUUUAUAUGUGAAAUAAUUAAAAAAAAAUAGAUUUGUAGAAGGUAGAAAGAGAUAGGAAGAAAGGAUAAAGUUUUGAUUAGUUAAUGUAUUGUAGUUUUUUUUGGUCAUUUGACCUAAUUUUCCUUUAAAAAAUGUAGAGAGAAAUAAUAAGAUGUUAUUCUAUAUUGAACCCAACAAUAUAAAACCUAUUAUCUUAUACCGUCCUUCAAAAACCCAAUAACCAACCUAGGCCUAAACCAACCAAAUUCUAGUCAUGACUAUAAGUUCAUAUCUCAGAAAAUAACUUUUGCUUUAACCUAGUAAAUCAAAAUAGUUAUUAUACACUACCAGUUAGUGUGGAUUUGUAGAGACCCAGCUUAUCCUUGUGGCCGGAGAAUAUUUACUUUUUUGAGAUAGCAAAGAGAAAACAGAUAAAGCCCAAGAACACACUGCAUGCCAUUUUUGCUUUGAAACAAAGAGCUAUUACAAAGAAGGGCACUACAAGGUCCGUGACUUUAUUCUUUCCAUCAAGCCCUUUAAUUUUGUCACAAUUUACAACUAUGUCCAGCAAAUCGCUACGGGACUAGCCACCAUGUGUUUCCCAUCUGACCAUUCGAUGCUCCCGAACCUAUUAGACCUAGACGCCUUGGACGAGUUUACUGUAAACGUCACUGUAUACGAUUUCUUCUCGUUUAUUUCUUUGAAAUUCAAAACCGCCGGUUCAACCGAAAUCUUCACAUCAGUAGUCUCCGAAUUUACUUUAACCGAGUAAGACUCAGCUCCUCCCACGGUCGUGACAGUGCGCGUGUACUUGAACACGCCGGAUCCAUCAACGUUAACGGCGAACGACGGAUAGUUUAGAUCAGCGACGAAGUACGAUUUACUCGGAUCGCAAGUGUAAUUACGUCUCGACACACUUGUGAUCUGCGACGGUGUGUAAUUCAACGCAUAGAGGAAGCCUAAGUAAUCCACCGUCGUUAGAUCGUAAAUAAGUCCCGGAUUGAUCGCCGUCGUCGGCGACAUGUGUCAUGUGCCAUGCUCAAACGGCGUUGAAGGUUUCCCCGUCGUGACGUCGAGGAUCGGUUUGCCGUCGUUGUAAGUUUUGUAAGCGGUGGUCAUGAGAGCCGAUCUGAUCGCCGCCGGGCUCCACUCCGGAUGCACGGACUUGAGAAGCACAGCUAAACC